RNAcentral lists this long non-coding RNA (1090 nucleotides) under Trifolium pratense (red clover). Its description in RNAcentral is "long non-coding RNA (TPRA_LNC012352)". Lineage: Eukaryota; Viridiplantae; Streptophyta; Magnoliopsida; Fabales; Fabaceae. The record is from RNAcentral.
AAACCAUUCAUCACUAAUUUUUUACAUAUAUUUAUCAUCAAACAUAAAACUCAAAAUCAUUCAUAUGUACAUAUAUGUGUUACAAACUAACAAGAGAUUUUAUUUUAAGCCAGGGAUGUUCCCCCUAGUACACGCCAAAAAAAAAAGAGAAUUUGUUGGACAAUCUCACGAAACAGUAUAUACAUAAACAUAAGUAACCGGGGUUAAUAACACUAGAAAUAUUUGGAAUAUGAUACAUAUAUAAGGUGGAAUGAUGUAGAACGAAUGAAAAUCAUUCUUUCUUUUUUUUUUCCAUAAUUACAUUCAACAUUCCUUUCACCUUGUAUCAUCUCAUGAUCCAAACAUAUCUUAACUUUUCUUAUUCAAGGAUUAAAACAUUCAACAAGCAUGUAAAGUGAAGCCUCCGAAAAUAGCAACCUAGGCUUGAAAAAUUGCACAGUUGGAGCUAACCAAGUUGAAGUCAUGUUGUUCUUUGGUGAGACAGUAGAGUGAGUACUCUGAAUCUGAUCUUUUUCCUUUUCUCUGAGUUUGGACAUCUCAUUUGUCCAUAUAUCCACAAGUCCAGAGAUCACUAUUAUAAAGACAAAAAAGCACUUAUAAAAAUUGGUAAGCAAAAUAGUACUUGAUAAAGCUCAAAAUUAGGAAGGAAAGACACUAGUGGAUGUUUGAUUUGAAUUUGUUUGAAGUUGAAUGACAUAUAUAUAUAAGGAUUAGAAAUUCAUUCGGUUAAGUAAUAAAAUAUGUAACUUAAUGGUUGAGCUGAAAUAGUGGAAAGUAUUUUAUCUAUUAUAAUAAAUAAAGCUAGUGAUACCGUGGUACUAUCAAGAUACUACUAGUAUAAAGAAACAACUUGCGCCACCAAUAUAAAAGUGGUUUUUACAUUUAACUUUGCAAACAAAUAUCUGUUGGCUCAUUUAGAUNNUACGAGGUUUUGCAUUAACAGCGGCAGGGAGAAGAGUCUCGUACUAUGUCUCAUCUCAUCUAUGCCAGGUGUGUUGUGUAAGGAUGAUAAAUAUAUGCUUAUCCUUAUCUUUAUGAUGAUAUACAUGAAAAUUUCAUGCAUAUGAAGAAAUCUAGUCCUACGAUUAAG